Molecule: RNA transcript, 3472 nt
Organism: Gallus gallus (chicken)
Lineage: Eukaryota; Metazoa; Chordata; Aves; Galliformes; Phasianidae
Gene name: translation initiation factor IF-2-like
Exons: 2
Source: RefSeq, a predicted model, not a curated record
ACCGGGCAUCGGGCCCUCGGCAGCUGGCGGUGAGCGGUGGCGGUCGGGAGAGGCGGGGAGGAGUGGGCUGGCAUGGAGGGGGGGGGGACCCGCAGGAAGCCCCGAGGGAUGGGAGGUGCUGAACCCGUGCAGGUGGGUGCUGGGGGCAGAGGGGAUGUGGGGUGAUAGCAGCAAGAGGGAAGGAUGGGGACAGGGCAGCUGCAGCCUGGUGUGCCCCUGCAUGAGGGCUCUUCCCCCCCCCCCCCCCCCCCGCCCCGAGGCCAGAGCAGCACAUAGGGAUCACCCGUGGGCGCUCUGUACCCCAUCCCCAGCAGCUCUGCCUGUGCCUGGGUGGGAUUUGGGGCAGCCCCAUCAGUGGGGGGAACCUACAAUUGUGGCAGCCACAGUGAGCCUGCAGUGCAGGGAGGGACACCCUGAGGUGCUACUCAUCUCCAAAAGCACCCGUUGCCCCCCAGAAAAGCCUGGGGUCCUUUUUGGGGGGGGGGGGGGGGGGGGCGAGGGGGGGUCUCUUAUGGCCACGGGAGAAUGUGUCCCCAGGUGAUGGGAGCACCCCUGGCACAGGGACAGCCCCCAGCCUCCAUCCCCACAAUGACUCAAAGCGGCGCUGUUGUUGUUUUGAAGGCCAACUUCUCCCGCUCACACAUUGGAAUUAGUUUUUCUUCCAAAGAACUUAAAAAUAUCUCAGAUUUCUGACACCGGCUUCCAAGGAGCCGAGUCCAGGGCCAGCCACUGAGGGACAGAGGCCGCCCAGCUCCCGUGCUGCUUGGCCAUAGGAGGACAGAUCUUGUGGGUGAACGGGUGCUGCACAAACACAGCCCUAUGUUGGGUUGCUGGAUGAGAAGCAACACGUGCUCCCGGCCCUCCUGCUGCCAGGAUGGGAUAAGGCUCAUCCUGGGGAGCUGUAUCCCUGCCAAGCCCAACGGUGGAGGAUUUGGAUGCCUCCAUCCUGCUCUCCCCAGGUGGGAUUUCCCCAUGGAGAACACGUGGCCCCAAAGCCCAACUUGUGCCCAAGGCCUCGCAGCUGUGCCACAGGGAGCUCAUGUCAUGGAACUGGAGCGGGCAGCACGUGCCCACAGGACUGGGGCGGGGGGGGGGGGAGGGGAGAACUGGGGGAGAAGGGGUGCUGCUGCCCCCCAGAAGGCAGCACAGCCCCUGGAUGCCCCUCACCGUACGCUAUUGUUACCAUCUGACAGCUCUUGGCGAAACCAUCUUUGUGAUUCAGCCGUGUUUAUCCCAGCCCGCGGCCCGGCCCAGCGUGGGUUUCCAUGGAAAACUUCCAUCGAAAACAAGGAGAAAAGGAGUUACAGCAGGAGUGACUCAGCCACAACUGGAAGCUUCUGCGGAUGAGGCAGAGAAGGGGGGGAAUCUUCCCACCGGCUCGGUCCCAAUCGGGCAGCGGGACCUGGGGACACCCCCGGACACGUCCUGCAGUUCUCUUGUGUGCCCAAAUCCCAGCACACUGCAGGUAGGAGCCAGGCCCAAGGGAGAUGCAUUGUGUAAGAGUCCACGAAACGCAUCACCUUUCAGGAGCACCCCCUCCCCAGCAGACUGCAUCAGGCCCUGCUCACCGCUGGCUGUAGGGGAGGAAGAGUGAGAUGAGUAAGGCUGGAAGGACGCUCACAAGAAGGUAGAGCAUAGAAACUAGACCUGGACCAGCAAAAGGUACGUGGUGUGGGGCUGAGCUGCUGCCGAGGUGGCAGAAGGCAAGCAGAGCUCAGAGCGGUGCUGCCUGGCGUGGGGCAGACAUGGCCAUGCUCGGAGGGGCUGUGGUGGGCAGGAUUCCUGGGGCACCCUCCCCUGACCAGCAGGUGAUGUCUGCAGGAGUCGCUUCCCUCCUCCCAUCACAGCAGGUGCAAAAAACACGUCCCUCCUGCGCUGCUGACGCGGACACCUCAUGCAGAUUAAGGGUCGGGUUUAUUUGUUUUUAUUAUUUUCUUUAAGCUCAGGGAGAAGACACCUGGCGUUUGGUUUUUUUUUUUAUUGUUAAACUCACUGGGAAUGAGAUGCGGGUGCUGGAGUACCAAAAAGCCCCCUGAAUUCAAGCCCACCCGCCCAUCAACCCCCCAGUCUCCCCACCCCCACCUGCCCAAAGGAGCUGUAUGGGAAGGGGCAGGGCCCAUUCUGCUCACUCACCACGCACACACAGGUCCAUCCUUGUUUCCAACGCCAGCGAGCCGCUGCGGUGCCUCCGGCCGGUGCUGCUGCGGGACACGGGGGCGGGGGAAGCGGCUGCGGGACCGCAGUGCAGGCUGGACCGCGGCGAGCAGACAUCACUGCAGUGCCUCCUCCGCGCCGUCCCGCGGUGAUGGGCUGCGCCGGCGAAGCGCCACGGCGAGCUGCAAGCUCGGAAAUAAUUAAACAGCUAACGGCGGGCCGGCCGCGCUGCCUGCUGCUUCUUUUCACAGCGCCUGGAGGCUCAGGUGGGAAAGCAGCGAGACAAAGGCCCUGCUGCUUUGUCAUCACAGGGUUCAGCCUCGCUGUUUCGGCUGCAUCCACCCACCUCCUGCUGCUUUGGCAGGGCAACAGGUGUGUAGAUGCACAGCAGCAUCUCUGCAUCUCCCUGCGUGCUCCUUCCCCACGUCCCUGCAGGCCAAAAGCUGCGUCUUUGUUCCCCAUACCGACCCCCGGCGUCCUCAAUGCAGAGACCAAGGGGUGACAGACACCCCACAGCUCCCCAUCAGCCCAGGAGGCAGCACGGCAGCGCUGCUCCUCAAGCAGCCAGACAGCACCGUGAUGCCGGAGCCCCCACACCCUUCAGUCACCUGGGGGCAACAUCAGUGCAGAUCUGAGCCUCAGGGGAAAGCAGCCUCAUGCUCUUACUGCCGCCUCCAUCAUGCUGCAGCCACAUAACCAGCAACAAACCGGAGAGCAAAACUCACACGAAUUAAAGCUGCUCGCUUUUGCUCGGUUAGAUUUAACCCGCGGCGAUUCCCAGGCGUGUUCACGGCUCACUGAAGGCUGAAAGCGCUUCCGUCUACUGAUCCACUCCCCGUGGUUGCCUGGGGCUCAGAGCCUGCCUGGGGAAGCAUAAGGAGCCCACAGACUCGGGUGAGAUCUUCCCAUCCUGCCCUGUGCCACAGCAGUUCUCUCUCCUCCUGGUGCUCGUGACCCACCAAAGGAUUGCCCAGCACCAUCCUCUGCUCAGCCCCACCCGUGAGACCUCAGUGCAGCAAUGUAGGAGAGCAGCCCUACCUGGCAACAAGAGCAAACUACCACGUUUAGCAUCUACGCUGCACUUCACCACUGAAGAAAACGGGGAUCAGAGACCAUGCUGAAGUCCCUCUGGGCACAGAGUAGAGGCUGCUGUACCCCAGCACUGAAGCCACGUGGCACCCAAGCAGGACGCCCACCAUCAGAGUAACAACACCAGUAUCACAGAUUUCUGUGUGCUUCUGGAAAAUGUAAGACAAAAACCUAGCAACAGUCGAGUUUUUCUUUGCACAUCAGAAGAUAAAACGGAUCUUUCAAUUCA